UAGGGAAUCUUCGGCAAUGGACGAAAGUCUGACCGAGCAACGCCGCGUGAGUGAAGAAGGUUUUCGGAUCGUAAAACUCUGUUGUUAGAGAAGAACAAGGACGUUAGUAACUGAACGUCCCCUGACGGUAUCUAACCAGAAAGCCACGGCUAACUACGUGCCAGCAGCCGCGGUAAUACGUAGGUGGCAAGCGUUGUCCGGAUUUAUUGGGCGUAAAGCGAGCGCAGGCGGUUUCUUAAGUUUGAUGUGAAAGCCCCCGGCUCAACCGGGGAGGGUCAUUGGAAACUGGGAGACUUGAGUGCAGAAGAGGAGAGUGGAAUUCCAUGUGUAGCGGUGAAAUGCGUAGAUAUAUGGAGGAACACCAGUGGCGAAGGCGGCUCUCUGGUCUGUAACUGACGCUGAGGCUCGAAAGCGUGGGGAGCAAACAGG
Molecule: ribosomal RNA, 429 nt
Filed under: Gemmatimonadota bacterium
Lineage: Bacteria; Pseudomonadati; Gemmatimonadota
Description: Gemmatimonadetes bacterium partial 16S ribosomal RNA
Rfam family: Bacterial small subunit ribosomal RNA
Source: RNAcentral